ACGAACGCUGGCGGCAUGCCUAACACAUGCAAGUCGAACGAGACCUUCGGGUCUAGUGGCGCACGGGUGCGUAACGCGUGGGAACCUGCCCUUAGGUUCGGAAUAACUCCCCGAAAGGGGUGCUAAUACCGGAUAAUGUCUUCGGACCAAAGAUUUAUCGCCUUUGGAUGGGCCCGCGUUGGAUUAGCUAGUUGGUAGGGUAAAAGCCUACCAAGGCGACGAUCCAUAGCUGGUCUGAGAGGAUGAUCAGCCACACUGGGACUGAGACACGGCCCAGACUCCUACGGGAGGCAGCAGUGGGGAAUAUUGGACAAUGGGCGAAAGCCUGAGCCAGCAAUGCCGCGUGAGUGAUGAAGGCCUUAGGGUUGUAAAGCUCUUUUACCCGGGAUGAUAAUGACAGUACCGGGAGAAUAAGCUCCGGCUAACUCCGUG
This 432-nucleotide ribosomal RNA is filed under the name uncultured bacterium. Its description in RNAcentral is "partial 16S ribosomal RNA". It matches the Rfam family "Bacterial small subunit ribosomal RNA", at positions 29 to 507 of the family's 1533-position model. The record is from RNAcentral.